UGAAAGGUGUUUUUGAAAACCACAAAUAUAUAAAAUCACAUACUUU
Non-coding RNA from Camelus ferus (Wild Bactrian camel), 46 nucleotides. The record is from Rfam. NCBI's taxonomy places the organism in Eukaryota, Metazoa, Chordata, Mammalia, Artiodactyla, Camelidae.